UUCUAGCGAGCCCAACCUCCCACCCGUGUUUACUGUACCUUAGUUGCUUCGGCGGGCCCGCCAUUCGUGGCCGCCGGGGGCUCUCAGCCCCGGGCCCGCGCCCGCCGGAGACACCACGAACUCUGUCUGAUCUAGUGAAGUCUGAGUUGAUUGUAUCGCAAUCAGUUAAAACUUUCAACAAUGGAUCUCUUGGUUCCGGCAUCGAUGAAGAACGCAGCGAAAUGCGAUAACUAGUGUGAAUUGCAGAAUUCCGUGAAUCAUCGAGUCUUUGAACGCACAUUGCGCCCCCUGGUAUUCCGGGGGGCAUGCCUGUCCGAGCGUCAUUGCUGCCCAUCAAGCACGGCUUGUGUGUUGGGUCGUCGUCCCCUCUCCGGGGGGGACGGGCCCCAAAGGCAGCGGCGGCACCGCGUCCGAUCCUCGAGCGUAUGGGGCUUUGUCACCCGCUCUGUAGGCCCGGCCGGCGCUUGCCGAACGCAAAUCAAUCUUUUUCCAGGUUGACCUCGGAUCAGGUAGGGAUACCCGCUGAACUUAAGCAUAUCAAUAA
RNAcentral lists this ribosomal RNA (544 nucleotides) under Aspergillus flavus. RNAcentral's name for it is "eukaryotic LSU rRNA". The stretch from base 170 to 323 matches the Rfam family "5.8S ribosomal RNA". The record is from RNAcentral. Lineage: Eukaryota; Fungi; Ascomycota; Eurotiomycetes; Eurotiales; Aspergillaceae.